This 506-nucleotide ribosomal RNA is filed under the name uncultured bacterium. RNAcentral describes it as "partial 16S ribosomal RNA". It matches the Rfam family "Bacterial small subunit ribosomal RNA", at positions 29 to 523 of the family's 1533-position model. The record is from RNAcentral.
AGUGAACGCUGGCGGUAGGCCUAACACAUGCAAGUCGAACGGCAGCACAGGAGAGCUUGCUCUCUGGGUGGCGAGUGGCGGACGGUUGAGGAAUACAUCGGAAUCUACUCUGUCGUGGGGGAUAACGUAGGGAAACUUACGCUGAUACCGCAUACGACCUACGGGUGAAAGCAGGGGAUCUUCGGACCUUGCGCGAUUGAAUGAGCCGAUGUCGGAUUAGCUAGUUGGCGGGGUAAAGGCCCACCAAGGCGACGAUCCGUAGCUGGUCUGAGAGGAUGAUCAGCCACACUGGAACUGAGACACGGUCCAGACUCCUACGGGAGGCAGCAGUGGGGAAUAUUGGACAAUGGGCGCAAGCCUGAUCCAGCCAUACCGCGUGGGUGAAGAAGGCCUUCGGGUUGUAAAGCCCUUUUGUUGGGAAAGAAAUCCAGCUGGCUAAUACCCGGUUGGGAUGACGGUACCCAAAGAAUAAGCACCGGCUAACUUCGUGCCAGCAGCCGCGGUAA